GCCCGUGUAGCGUAAUGGUUAACGCGUUUGACUUCUAAUCAAAAGAUUCUGGGUUCGACUCCCAGCAUGGGUG
Non-coding RNA from Pichia kudriavzevii, 73 nucleotides. The record is from Rfam. NCBI's taxonomy places the organism in Eukaryota, Fungi, Ascomycota, Pichiomycetes, Pichiales, Pichiaceae.